RNAcentral lists this long non-coding RNA (414 nucleotides) under Mustela putorius furo (domestic ferret). RNAcentral's name for it is "lncRNA (ENSMPUG00000031133.1)". Lineage: Eukaryota; Metazoa; Chordata; Mammalia; Carnivora; Mustelidae. The record is from RNAcentral.
GGCAUAGUCUCUGAAUUUUUCCUCUGUUGGGUACCUCCUAGUCAUUUUGGUUGAGGGAUGUAUAGCUGAAUAUAUCAACCAUGAUCCAGGCAAGGUGCAGCCUGUAAUGCUUUGGAGCAAUCAGAAUUCACCACCAAAAAGAAAGAAAGAAGAAAAAGAGAGAGAGAGAGAGAGAAGACCUAGCCAGAAUGAUCCACCAAAAGGAACAAAGAAACACCUUUAAAGAGCUAACAAAUCCCAAGAAUAGGAAACCCUGCAAGACAAAUGAAUUCAUCUUCAAUAAAAAAUUGCAAAGAGGAACAGAGGAAAGCGGUCCCAUUGAUUGAAAGAGACUUAAAAUGCACAUCAAAAAUGACAAGUUUUUUUCAAUUGUUAAAAGUAUAAAAAAUUAUGAAACAAGGAUAUGAACAUGGA